CAGUCGCCGCGGUAAUACGAAGGGUGCAAGCGUUAAUCGGAAUUACUGGGCGUAAAGCGUGCGUAGGCGGUUCGUUAAGUCUGUUGUGAAAUCCCCGGGCUCAACCUGGGAAUGGCAAUGGAUACUGGCAAGCUAGAGUGUGUCAGAGGAUGGUGGAAUUCCCGGUGUAGCGGUGAAAUGCGUAGAGAUCGGGAGGAACAUCAGUGGCGAAGGCGGCAUCUGGGACAACACUGACGCUGAGGCACGAAAGCGUGGGGAGCAAACAGGAUUAGAUACCCCCGUAGUCCCUGUCUCUUAUACA
This 301-nucleotide ribosomal RNA is filed under the name uncultured bacterium. RNAcentral's name for it is "partial 16S ribosomal RNA". It matches the Rfam family "Bacterial small subunit ribosomal RNA", at positions 509 to 808 of the family's 1533-position model. The record is from RNAcentral.